ACCUAACACAUACUUCAUCGUUUUCGUGUCCAACUUUGACUGUCUAUCUUAUAUGAGAUUUUUUUAUAAUUCGUAUUUUCAUUGUUGUUUGAUGAUAAAACAUGAUUAAUAUUUUAUGCGUGACUUGUCUUUUUAAUUUUUUUCAUAUUUUUUUCAAAUAAGACGGACGGUCAAACGUUAGGCAUGAAAACCAGGGUUUGUCUUUUU
This is a non-coding RNA of Oryza nivara, 207 nucleotides long. The record is from Rfam. NCBI's taxonomy places the organism in Eukaryota, Viridiplantae, Streptophyta, Magnoliopsida, Poales, Poaceae.